Long non-coding RNA from Oncorhynchus masou masou (cherry salmon), 285 nucleotides. RefSeq lists it as uncharacterized. NCBI's taxonomy places the organism in Eukaryota, Metazoa, Chordata, Actinopteri, Salmoniformes, Salmonidae. The record is from RefSeq and is a predicted model, not a curated record. The transcript is spliced from 3 exons.
CUUUACUGGAAAACAGUGAAACAGAAGGUACAAAAUAACACUGGGAAACAACUAGGACUCGAAAACGUACUCAGGAGAUAAGCGCACACGGCAAACGAAUCAAGCUUCCUCAAAGGAGGCUAGAAAUCAACACAUCUGAAGAAAUAUAAAUGAAAAUGAAAGAUACCAUCUCUUCUAGAAAGAGCCCAGAUGUUACAUCAUCCCGACAACCCUCAGGGGAGCCCAAAGACAUCAGGGUCUCAUUUACAAUGGUUCCCUGAGGACACCAAUACUACAAAUUGGGAG